GCACAUGCUCAGUCGGUAGACCACGAGACUCUUAAUCUCAAGGUUGUGGGUUCAAGCCCCACGUUGGGCC
This 70-nucleotide transfer RNA is filed under the name Podarcis lilfordi (Lilford's wall lizard). Its description in RNAcentral is "tRNA.Lys". The stretch from base 7 to 62 matches the Rfam family "tRNA", at positions 10 to 63 of the family's 71-position model. From Rfam's summary of the family: Transfer RNA (tRNA) molecules are approximately 80 nucleotides in length. The record is from RNAcentral. Lineage: Eukaryota; Metazoa; Chordata; Lepidosauria; Squamata; Lacertidae.